CGCCGGUGAACGCGACGCCGACGCGUGGCUCCCAACGAAGCGUUUUGCGGAAGAUGUGCUUUUCGAUUCGCCCUGCGUCACAAAUAGCCCCAAAGUCCAGAAACGGUAUCCGCCAAAGCCCAGCGCUGCAAACACCAGCAGAAAGAGCAGCAGGACCACCGUGGCGAGCGUGGGGAUGCCACCGUCCAGCCUUCGACGCCUCUGGUGCCGGUUGGGCAGCUGACCAGGAUGCUGCUGCUGAACUCCAUCCACCAAGAACACGGGAUGGCUCUGGUCACAGUUCAUGGCGCCGCUCCGAAUGCGAGACGUAGGAUAAUGUGCAAGUUGGGAUUGCUGAAAGGGGAAACAUGCAACAUGACAGCCAUUCUUGCCGUGAAAAUAUCACCAAAAAAAGAGAAAAUGGGAACGUGCUUGGUGUGCAACUCAAACAGGAGACACGACUGUAACUUCAUCCGUCACCUUAAACCCCGCAGACAGGUAAGCUAUGCUAAC
Molecule: long non-coding RNA, 492 nt
Organism: Syngnathus acus (greater pipefish)
Lineage: Eukaryota; Metazoa; Chordata; Actinopteri; Syngnathiformes; Syngnathidae
Exons: 4
Source: RefSeq, a predicted model, not a curated record